GAGUUUGAUUCUGGCUCAGGAUGAACGCUGGCGGCGUGCGUAACACAUGCAAGUUGGACGACGGUGCUAUGAAGUGGUAACACGGAAUGGUAUACGGAGUAGCGGACGGGUGAGUAAAGCAUGAGGAGCUGUCCUGUUGAGGGGGAUAACGUUCGGAAACGGACCCUAAUACCCCAUAGGCCGAGAGGUUAAAGGCAGAGAUGCGCGACAGGAGGUACUCGUGUCCUAUCAGCUGGUUGGUGAGGUAACGGCUCACCAAGGCGACGACGGGUAGCCGGCCUGAGAGGGUGACCGGCCACACUGGAACUGAGACACGGUCCAGACUCCUACGGGAGGCAGCAGUGGGGAAUAUUGGGCAAUGGGAGGAAUCCUGACCCAGCGACGCCGCGUGAACGAAGACGGCCUUCGGGUUGUAAAGUUCUUUUAUGUGGGAAGAAGGAAGUGA
RNAcentral lists this ribosomal RNA (445 nucleotides) under Synergistales bacterium canine oral taxon 244. Its description in RNAcentral is "bacterial SSU rRNA". It matches the Rfam family "Bacterial small subunit ribosomal RNA", at positions 9 to 457 of the family's 1533-position model. Lineage: Bacteria; Thermotogati; Synergistota; Synergistia; Synergistales. The record is from RNAcentral.